CAUGUUGUUUCUGGAAUACAUCAUAUUCAUUUGCAGAAACCCUGUGUAUGGAUCUUUAACACUUUUCCCCCCUUUUUUUUUCCGAGGUACCUAGAAUAAUGGCUUUUUAAGACAGUAAUAAAGCCGUGUAACUUGUGGGGAAAAGCACACUGUGGCUCACAAUCUGAAUUAAACGUGUGUCAUUGGGGCUGAGGGGGAAAUUUUCUACCUUCAAGAAACCUGAUAUUUUGGACCAGAUCCCUGUCUGAACAGGUUGUAUGCUGCCCUUUUCAAAAUCAAGCUAUCAGAGGAUGCCCUUCAGCUGAAGUGUUAAGAGGACUUGGUGAGCUUAACAUGUUUCGCCUGCUUAAUUUAAUUUGGAAAAAUUCAACCAGAAAAUGAAGUUAUUAACAGAGAUCAGAGCAUGGCCAUGGAAUAACAACAGCUACAAACAUAUCUCUGUGUGCUGAGGCAGUUACCCACGAGAUGGUGUUCCCUGGAUAAUUGUGUUUGUAAAUAUAGAUGGAUACACAACACAGGCUGCUGCCUAGGAAAAUCAAGACUAACUGAACUGACUAAUUCUGAGUGCUUACCUCCUUUCAAUGCUUUUUUGGGAUGGGGAGUUUUAGUCUAAAGGAACAUGUUUAAGAACCAGUCUCUGCCCAGGCUGCUGAAGGCAGAAGAUGCCUGAGAGUGAAACAAAAAUGUUUUGAAGAGCAGGAUGGUACUCCCUGUCUCUUCUGCACUAACCACCAACAGCUGGAGAACAGGCUGCAAGAGGCAGGAGGACCACAUCUCAUGGACAUGUGAGCAAAGGCUUGAGGCUUAGCAAAGUUUCCAGGGAAAGGUACAGGAGUUUUGUUACCUUUGCUUGAUUGUACUUAAAUAUAAUAGAACUUCUACAGAUCUUUGCAAAAUAUGUAAGUUGCAGUCGGUGGACUUUCUAUUUCAGGUAAGUGUGGCAAUAUGUGGGGUUUUUUUUAGUUUAUGGCUAUUUUUAUGAAAUUUCUGAACAAUGCAGCUAAGCAGCAACAGGGGGAGGGCUUAGGUGGGAGGCGGAGAUAAGAAAAAUUGGGGGAAAGACAAAAGGAUGUGUGUAGGUGUCCAGGGAGUCUUCAGACUUUUGCACUGUGACUUCAAACCCUGGCAUCAGUGAGUUCUACCUAUUCCAGCAGCAGUUUUGGUCAGGGCAGCUGUAUAUGGGAGGAUGUCCCAUUGCAAUUUAUGAUUCCCAGUAGUGAUGGCACAGUGCCUGUACCUAUCUGGUUCCAGUUCAUAUGUGGUCAGAACAUGUUUGAUCUCCUUCAGAAGACAAGGAGCAUCCCACUGCCACCUUAAUGUCAUCCACUCUGGCAUCUGCUGACACAUCUGGUGGUGGCUGGUGUUGGAGACAUUACAGUGGACGUGUUGGGAAACCCAUCUGGCUCAGGAUGAGAGUUUUUCUGCUCCUCUGUGCUGCACAGCAUUGGGGGAUCUGGAAGUCCUUCAUGCUCUGACCUUUUGGAAGUUGAAAUUCUUGGUGCAGGGCUGUCACUGAAAAAACAGCACUUCCUGCUUAAAACUUUGUGAGGCAUAUUUUUAUUUUAAUUGUGUACUUAUAACCACUUGUUAAAAAUUGGGUAUUUUUAACUAUUACCUCAGACCAUUGUAUUUUAGUAUAAAACCCACCCUUUGUUUGUCUGUGAUACUCUUUUGCAGAACGUAGUUAUGUGGGGAUAGUGUUGACUAGUAAUUAUUUACUUGGUCAGACUGGUUAGUUUACCCUCAAACCAUGCAUUUUGUUUUAGCAGUGGCAUCUUAAAUAGUUAUUUAGAGAAGAAGAGCUGCAGGAGACAGAAACUUCACAGAGGAGGGGAAGAAAAAAAAAUCCAAAUAAAAAAAAAAAAAAAACACCAACCAACCCACCACACACAAGUUGGAAGGGCUUAGAAUAAAUUAUUGCAUGUCAUUCUGUGGGAAAAUCUCCCCGUACGGAUGCUGUGUUGUUCGCAAUGUGAGUGCCAGAUCCACUCAGCUCUGCUUUGCACUUCUGUCACCCUUAUCACUCAUGAGACAAUCCUCUUCUACUGUAAGUGCUACCCCCAGCGGCAUGUACUCAUUUAUAGGACUCGCAUGCUCGUGCUGAAGUCAGGCACCCAGGAGGCACAGGAUGAAUUGACAGUAUAGGCAGAUGCUUUCAGCAAAGGAACCAGGAUGUUAAAAGAGCUUCAGCGUGGUUAUUGUUUUGCCAGGCAAAUCCAUGUACUUGUCAUCAAGGUGUUCAGGAGUAUUUCAGCCUCGUCGUACAAGCUGAAUACAAGAGCUGUAAUCAAGAGUUACAUCAUUUGGUGAGACAAGACCUUGAGGAAUACAGCAAAGGGAAAUGUGCAUAAUUAGAACAGUUCAGUUACAAGGGAAAGGGGCUUUGAUAGUGUUAGAAAUGCAGCUGAAACAUGCAGCCUCCAUUGCCCUGUCAUCAGGCAUUAGAUGGUAGAUGUCAACGGGCCAGGGGGAUCUCAGGAUCCAAUGAAGGAGCCUGGGGUUCUCUCUUUCAACCUUUCCAACCCUCAGGAAAACAUCUAAGGUGACCAUCUGCUGAGCCACAAGGUCUCCUUCUCCGUUUGUGGGCAAGCACCAAACCAGAGAUUAAAAUAAGAGGCACUAACUGAAAAAUGAAAAAAUUAAAAAGCAGUUUGUUUUGAUAGCUUUUCUCAGAAAAGAAUGCUGAGAAAUAGGAGCAUGACCAAUUCCUCUGCCACCUCAAAAUUCCUGUAAGGGAAGAGGCUGACAUGAAGAGGGGCCAGACAUGGUGACAGGGAACACGUCGUAGGUCGUCAAAUGCCUCGGGGCCAAAGCACUUCCCAUGGUGAUUUCCACACUAACAAAGUUGCCAAAAUCCUUCCUAGAAAUUGCAGUUGGGGGAAUAAAAAAAAACAACAAAACAACUUUAGUGACACCCGUUCUAAGUAUGCAACAUCCAGCCUGCUUUAUUUAGAUUUUUCACAAAAUAUUUAUCACUGCCAUAGUGAUAUCUAUCCUAAAAAAAGAGACGAUGUUUCAAAGCAAUUUGACCUUCUCUAGACCCUAUCCAGAGACAUCUCUAUUCUUACACGUGUAUUAUUGGCAAAUGUUUUGAAUUUUUGAGUUUGUAGAGGAAAAUGUUUAACAUCUCAGGGAUUCUUGAGCCAUGGGAGACUGCUUUCCACCCACCACUGAGUAGGUUACCAGACAAUACUUAAUGUUUAGGUAUCAAAUAUUUUGUAACUAUCCCUGAAUAUUCAGUGAGUUAAUUAUGUUUCUUCUCUUUGCCUUUUCAUUAUUCUGUUUAAUGAAAGGCAAAUCUUGCUGGCGAGGCAGCGUGUCAGUGGGGCAUUUCCAAGGAACCCCUCUAAAGGAGUGCUGGAGGAAGGAUUUCAGCACUGAUGCUCUUCCAAGACAUCAGCACCAACUGGCAUCACUGGCAUUCAUCUUUUGGGUGAGACUAUGGCUGGAAUCCUCUCUCUCUCAAAUCAAACACUGCAGCAGGACCCUGCAGUCUGGAACGUCUCUUGACCCGUGUGCACAGAUGAUGAACAAUUUCUCCUUUCUGGGUUGGCUUCUUUGCCUCUUGGUGCAGAAGUUGUCCUGAAAGCAUGCCAGGAACCUAAGUCAUAGAGAAGUGCUCUGGCACUGGAGUGAGAACGACAUGCUUGAUGAAACAUGUCAAGCUACAUUAUAUUGUAGUCAACAAGGACUGCCUAAUCAAAAGGGCCUGCAAGCAGAAUUGGGUUGUUUCGUGAAGGCUGAGGUCCUUCAGCAGAAAUGUGACAUAGAUAGGAUGCAGUGGAUAGUCCUGUAAUCCUGUAAAUUCUCCUGUACAACAGGAGAAUUUAAAAUUCAAAUGUUCUCUGAAACUCUGAAACCAGAAGGAAACAAAAGGAGAAAUCCAACUACAGAGGAGAGGUGAAACAGGACAGGAAUUCUGUCUCAGCCAUGGGAAAUGUCCUUUCCAAGCACAUGAGGAAGUCUGUUUUGCAGCAGCAGGUUCUCUCCACAUGGAAUCUCUGUACUUUUAUGACAUGUACAGUUGGUUGUAAUGCCAUACUGGGUAUCAUGUAUAACAUCAAAGAGCUAAGUGAGUAUAAAGUGUAUCUGAGAAGUGCCCAUCUCUGAGGUGGACAGAUGCCAGUGGGGACAUCACGUACCGUGUAACAGAUUUCAGCUGGAGGCUCGGAAAUGUCGCAGGAUCCACAGAAUCCUUGAAGAACAGAGAGGACCUGAGCUUCUGAUGUGUCACUCAAAGGAGAGGCUGUACAUGACACAUAGAUCAUCCUCCAUUCUCUGCAAAGGAUGGGGUUUUAUAGCAGGGUAGAAUCAAAGCUGGGAGCUAAAAAUGUCAUCACCUGUUUGCUUCAAAAGUCAGGUGACAAUGGCGAAUGAUGCAGAGAAUUCCAGAAAAAGAAAAGAAGCAUGUGCUUUCAGGUGUGCAAAUGGCCCUUGAAGUGUGAGCAUACAGAACUUGACUCUAGCCCCAGUUUUCAAUAAUUUCUUUAUAAAAUAAUGGUAUAAAUCUCCUGGUGAACUUUUCUUGAUGCAGGUCUUGUCCAUUCCUGCAGAUACCAUCAAGAUUCUGAAAAUCUGCGGCACAGCGGAAUCUUUUGGGUUCUGUAAGCAAACUGUGCGUUCAGCCUGGAAGAAGGGCCCAAGCAGGCUGACCAAGAACUCUUCUCUUGGAGGAGUUUUUCCAGAUGGCCUUUCCAGCAACUGUUUCCCAUGGCAAUUCCAGCGAGGACUCGGACAUCUGCUUCCCAUCAGGGUGUGAAGUGUGAAGCAUCAGGUUUUUGUAGCUGUCCCACUAUUAAGUGAAGGCUGCCCUCCUCACCCUGGCCCGUGUCAAGGCCACUUCCCUGGGCUCUGCACACCUGAUCUGGGCACUGCUCUUUGCUGGCUGGGAUUGUGGAAAUGAGAGGUUUAGCAAUGGAAGGAUUGAGAGGAAAGCCAGCACUGGCUUCACAGACACAGGACUGCCAGGGGGUUGGGCAGAGCUGUGAGCACCUCACAUUCAGAUGGGCCCAUACCACAAGUUUGGGAUCCAGAUUUGGAUUUGGACCUGACGUUUAUCAGAGUUUGGGAACAGCUGAACCCAGCAUCUGAGGUCAGGCUCUGGAGGAAUUAACAGCCUGCUGCAAAGACCUGGAUGGAGUGGAACUGCCCCACAUUUCAAGGCAUAGGUGUGGAAAAUACAAGGACUUGGUUUGACCUGUCUCUAAGGUAUUUCAAUUUUAAAAUGAAAGACUUUUAGUGAAGUGGGAGGCUGUGAUUAUUGUUGUGCCUGAAGGAUGAAAUUGCAUAUGGGGAUCCGAUUGACUGAGUGCUGUUGGAGAUUGUAACAAGAGACAGGAACUGCCUAAAAUGGUUUCAAGCUUAAAUACUUGUCCAAGGUCAAUAGGAGUAUCUGUGAGAAAGUAUUGAGAUCCCUGAUUUAUUAUCCAGUACUUUCACCACAAAAGGGUUGUCUCAGUGUAAUUCUUGACUUGUUCUAGAAGAGGAUAAAACACCUUAAUAACACCAUACACCUAGGUGCAGAAAGAGACAUAGGUGCAAAUGCUUCGAGUUCCUCUUCAGGCUACAAAUCCCUCAUAUUACCAAGAUUAAUGGCUUCUAAUCCGUUUUUAAAUGUUCCAUGUGGAUAGUGAAGGCGUAACUAUCAAAACACUGUAAAAUCAUAAUGUCUGUGUAGCUAUAAAUUACUGUUUUCAAAAUGAGCUGGAGGUCUCCAACUUAUUCCUAAGUGCAAAUUCUUAGAUGGUAUAAAAUUGCUCCAAAAGAUGACUAGGAGCAAGUUUUCUGGCUUUUGCCAAAGAGAAGCCAAUUAUGGGUCUACCUACUAGCUCUAUAGCAGUGUCUGUCUUGGUGACACUGAAAUUGUCCUAAACAGUAUAAAUUGGAUAGAUCAAAAUAAUUUCAGAUCAUUCUGAGAUUGAUUGAAAGGCAUGAGGCUUUUUGCAUAUUUCUUUGAUAUGUUUUGUGCUUUCCAUUUGUCAAGUUCUGAACUACUUUGUAUGAGACUGAUGAUGAAUUCAACUCAUGUUAAAGUAUGAGUUCCAUGACAGAUUGUUUUAAAAAAAAAGUUAUAUUGGCUUAGAGUAUUUUCUUAAGUGGAAUUAAUACAUGGCAUUCCAGAAAACAGGUAAAAGAGAACUUUCAACUCAUUAUUAUUUGAUUUAAACACAUAUGCAAUUAUUACUUCUAAAGAAAAUAAAAAAACCCCAUGAUUUAAAAGAUCAUUAGGAUAGUCUUUUGUGGGGCACAGAAAAAACCUUUACAGAUGUUAUAGGCUCUUUGGGGUUAUGCUUAAAUAAAAAUUUGGAGAAGUGCCUCAUUUGAAUUUAUACUCCCUUUGUGGUCCAUCAAAAAGGAUUCAUCUCUUAUUCAAAUGACGAGUCAAUAUGUUAGUCAGAUCAAAUACCAUUAAUAAGAUGCUAAAAAUGCUUCUGAGGAACAGGGGGAUUUCUUUAACAAGCCAUAAAGUGCUUUUUAAUCCAUUUUUGACUUGUUAAAUUCUUUGUGAUUCUCACAACUGUUCCAUCGUGACGCAGUUUCAAUCCUUUGUGCAGAUGGAAAAAAUCAAGGUGUAAAUCAAGGGCAGUGCACGCAUAUUGCUUUCCCCUCCAACAUUUCCCAAAACCACUGUGGUCCUCCUUGUGCUUUUCUAUCUCCUGUCUAUUUAAGACACUGCUGCUGGUCAGUGUUUUGGGUGGAUAAAGCUGUAUUUGAUGAGAUUGCCAAAUCACAGACCCCAAAAUUUGCUAAAGACACAAAACAACAUAAAAGAAUGAAACUCUGUCUCUUCCUUAGGACAGAGGUAGGAGACUUUGAAGAGAAGAGAUGCUCCUGGUGUGCUGAGAGAAGGAAAACCUGGAUUCUCAGCUUUGCCAUCAGUGCUCUGCUCUGCAGAGCCAUUUGCUGAGUUUUCUGUCUGUGGAAGGUGGCCCAGUAUUGCAGUUUUGCUGCAGACACAGCUGCACGGGGCCCAGGGACGUAGGAGUUCUCCAGAUAUAUCUCUCUAUCAGUGGCAAGAAAUGCUGAGUAGAUGCAGAUAUUAUGAAGAGGCUGAUGAGGGGGUGCUUUUUUUGCAUAUCUUCCUGGUCACAUCAGUAGAGAAAUAUUCUCCUUAGCUCUGAGUUCAAAGAAUGAUCCUUAACGUUCAUCUGAUGCCCAGGAUAUAUUUUCCAACAGCUUGUUUUACUUCUAUUUUGCUUAUAUUUUCCUCAGCCUGUUUUGUUUCAGUUGAAGGUUCAUACCAUUCCCUUUUUUUUUUUUUUUUCCUUUAGCUGAACAUGUUAAAGUUUUGGGAUGUGAACUACAAUCAGAAACUAAAAAGCUGCUUAAAAGAAAAAAGUAAAAGUGGUUUUUUGAUAAGCAUUUUAUUUUUCCUGACUUUUCUCACCUCUGAAGAGAUCAGAAUAAGUCAAAAUUCAAAAUUCACUAACAAAUCUUUGUAGAUUACCCUGAAAAUGGCUUAUGAAAAAAUGGGUCAUGACUUCUUUUAUUUGCUGAAAGCAAAUAUGACCAUCUGAUGGUCAAUAUGACCAUAUGACCAAUGCAUCUGACCAUCCCUAUAAUUUCUGACUGAAUUUGUGGCUGAUGACAAAGAGCAUUGUGACAAGUUUAUCUCUAAAUUUUGCGUGGAACAGGGGGCACCAGCCCACAAUGUACUUUAUUCUAUAAAUGUAAAUUAGUUCAUUCAUUAAAAUAAAUUUUUCAGGAUUAGGUCUGUGACUAUCAACUAUUUGGGAUGGGGAAAAUAAAUAGCAAUAUUUAAUAAACACACAGUGCACUAAGAUUGUAUUUAUUAGACUUCUGACAUUUUUAUAAAGAAGUCUUUGGAGCUGGGGCAACAACUGGUGCAGGUAAAUUUCCUACAUUGUGAAAAGAUCUGGUAUUUAGUUUAUGGGAAGCAGGCCUGAGCAGAUGUGAAAAGUUCAAAUAAAGGAAGGCCAGAUAAAACGCACUUUUGUGUCUGGAAAAUCAAAACAGAUGUUAUUAUUCAACCACAAAAAAAUCUAUUUGCACUUAAGUAGCAUUAGGUGUCUGACUAGUUCCAUUUCUUUUUUUUAGUGAAAACAACAAAAUGAUUAUAAAAUUAUAUAGGCUGAUAAAGUGCCUUAAAAUGUUACCAAUGGACUGAAUUGUUAGCUAAUAGCAAAAACCAGAGCAGAUCUUACAAGACCAAUAGAAACAUGAGUAAAUCUGUUUUUGAAGGGAAAAUUAAGGAAGAAGCAGCAAACUUGAAUGGACUCUCCUCUCUGAACCCCUGAUGUACAUCAGAGAAAUGGUGAUUUAAGAUGGGUGGAUUUUACACUGCCCAUAAUAUUUUCUGGAGGCCUGCCCAUAUGGAAAGGUUGAUGCUGGCAGAGGAUGACAGGUGCUGGAGAUCCUCAGGAGCCCUUGACAACAAGAAAACACUUGCAGAGUGUGAAUGUUGCCAAAUAGUCUUGCAAAUUAUUUCUGAUUAAAAGAAAAUUCAAUUUGGUUUCAGAAAUGUACGUGUCAAAGGGACACCUAAAAUAGUAUAGGAGAACCAAAAUGGGUAUUUCUGUCUGUGAAAACCUGCUCAUGUGGGCAACAGAAAUAAUAUUUUUUUCUGGAAAGCUGAUCUGAUUUGUAGAGACUUUGUUGGCCUGACACGUUUCUGCUCUUGCUUGCUGGGACUCAGAGGUAAAUUAAGAGUAGGUCCUGUUGGCUUGCUGGAGUUGGUAAAACUUGUCAGUAAAUUUGGGACUUGCAGGCUGCUGCUUCCCUCUUCAAUGGGAAAUGGAGUCUAAGACAUUUCUACCCCAAGAGUGGCAAAAGAGAGGACAGAGCUGCAUUUUGUUGCAGUUGUUUGAGUUGCUGCAGGAGCACUGAGGGUUUGCAUGGUUGGGAGGACGUUGUGUAACAACAGAGCUUUUUUUGUUUACACUGUUAUUCAAUGUUUGGUCGUUGCUCCUCCUCUUCCCUGUCUUCAGCACCACCAGCUCUGAUUCCCAUUAACCUCCUGUCUCACGUCCAGGCCACCCUUCCAGUUCUGAUUCUUUUCCUAAGGUGGAGCUGCCCUGCAGUGGGAGAUGGAGACUUGAGAUGUCCUGGACAUGAGGUCUCUCCCCAACCCUCCUUUGUUUCCUGUCACAUUUAGGGGGAAAAUUCACACAGAUCUGCUCUGAAGAACUGGAUUUCCAAUGCAGAGAUGAGUGGUAAAACCAAGGCUUGGCUAUCCCACCUCAUUUUUAGGGUUAGGGGCCUUGUUCAGUGAACCUGUAGCUCAUUUAUUCUCUGCCUGAAUGUUCCUAGAGCCCAUUAUUGCUCUGCAGUCUCCUCUCUCACAUUAAAAUUAUGGGGACCUACCUCUUAUUUUAAUUAAAGAUUAUUGCCACUGAUUUGGGCUCUUCCCAGGUCUUAGAGCUCUGUGGUUAGUAGUCAUCAGUGAUAAUUCCUCUCAAUAUCUGGGAUUUUAGGAAAAAAAGCUUUGUAUCUAGGUCACAUGGGUCUUCUGCACUUUUCCUUUAUUUAAAAAUGAAGAGGUGCCAGAGGCCACACCUUGUGGAGAGGUGAGUGCUUAGCCAUGAUUCAUAUGUUUAUGAACCUGUUGUUCUUGGGAAGAGUUCAAAACUGAAAAAAAACCCCACUCAAAAGUGAAAAAAACCCACUCAAAACAUGAUUAAAUAUUAAUUCUAAAGGUGAAUGCCUGGUUGGCUUUCAGGCAAUGUCAGGUUCCUACAGUUGAAAAUCAAAAGGUUUUUAAAGAUCUGAAAUUCCUAUUAAAAUCUGUGGUUUAGCAGCCUAAAUCCAAUUGAAAUGCAGUGUAAUUAAGACUUCCAAGGCACUUGAGGUUUGUUUCUAAGAAAUUAUGACCUGUAGGCAACUUGCAGCAUUUUCAAGGGACUAUGUAAUUUUAAAACUAUGAAUACUGGUCAUUUCUGUCAGGGACCUUAGAAAACCUCUGUAAAAAUGCAUAUUCCUUAACAAAAAACUUAUUUUUUGUGGUACCAACACCCAGCUAACACAGCUUCUCACUUGAACAGGUCCCUCAUAGUUUCACAGAGAUUGUUGUUGAGCUAUUCCUGUGAAGGUGGAAAAAAUAUUAUGUGAGAAAAGGCGGUGGAAUCAUUUGUCUUUGACUUCUUUCCUCAUGGAGAUGCUAAGUAUCCCACUGAUGCAAAAGGGUCGGAGAGAGCAAAAUGUGCAAAUAAUUUAAUAAAAAGAAUUGUAAGACAGAAACUCACCAGAGUAAGGACAAUAGAGUAGAAAAUGCCAUAAAAGAUAAUAGGCUUAGAUGAAUUGGCAUGUGUUAGCGAUUAUGCAAUCACUCAUUUCCCACAGAUUUCUUUUUAUAGGAAACCUUGGAAAAUCCCUGAAGAACUGACCGAGUCAUUUAACCACAACAGGUUUCUUUUCAACAUGGCUGGGAGUGGGCGAGGAAUAUUUUCACAUAUUUGUGCACUGCUGGCUUGUUUGGAAGGGCUGGAAGCAGCAGAGGACGACGGAGGACGGUGACUCAGCCCCGCGGCGAGCGGGGCCUCCUGCCACCCUCCACAUGGGGACCAGCCAGCCCAGAUCCAAGUGGGAACAAUCUCAUGUGAUCAGGAGCUUUGAGGUUUGGUCCGUGGCUGAUGAGAUAGGUGCUGUAGAGGCUGAGGAGAGGGGUUUUUGCUCCCAGAUCCGGGUUGGAUGUGAAUCCCUCUGGCUCGCAGGGAGCAGCUGAGCUCUCCUCAGUCACUGGCAGAAGCAGUCCUUUGCUUCCUUGCUGUCACAGGCUGUUUAAAUACUUGUGUUUCUGACAGCAAUUUUCCUUCACCACUGGGCUAAGGAAAACAAGACCUUGAGCUGCACUUCUGAGUUUCUUAAAGAUUUGUUUUUCUCCUUUCUUUCUUUUUUUUUCUAUUUUUUCUUUUCAAACAGGCUGUUUUCCUUGCAUUCUUCAGAGCAGCUUCUCACAGCCUCAAAAUGUCCCUGCUGCUUCGAGAUGUGUCACUGGUGGAGUCACCCUUCACCCUUGCUCCAAUCCCAGCCCCCUCGUGUGUGUGACGUCUCUCUCAGAUUCUCUUUCUGCUGAAGCCUCCUGGUGCUGGACCCGAUGAUCCUGGAGAGUCCUUUCCAAUUUGGGAUGCUCCAUGACUCCACCAUUUGCUCUGCUCAGCCCAGUGGAACAAACAUGCCCAAGCCACAAUGGUGAAGGGAGGAAAUGAACAAGUUUGUAGAGUUUCAUGGAGA
Molecule: long non-coding RNA, 11190 nt
Organism: Serinus canaria (Common canary)
Lineage: Eukaryota; Metazoa; Chordata; Aves; Passeriformes; Fringillidae
Exons: 13
Source: RefSeq, a predicted model, not a curated record